RNAcentral lists this transfer RNA (72 nucleotides) under bacterium. Its description in RNAcentral is "tRNA-Val". It matches the Rfam family "tRNA". From Rfam's summary of the family: Transfer RNA (tRNA) molecules are approximately 80 nucleotides in length. Their secondary structure includes four short double-helical elements and three loops (D, anti-codon, and T loops). The record is from RNAcentral. RNAcentral also lists the same sequence under 2 other names.
AGGCACGUAGCUCAGGGGGAGAGCACUACCUUGACAUGGUAGGGGUCGGCGGUUCGAGACCGCCCGUGCCUA